This 267-nucleotide ribosomal RNA is filed under the name uncultured cyanobacterium. RNAcentral's name for it is "partial 16S ribosomal RNA". It matches the Rfam family "Bacterial small subunit ribosomal RNA", at positions 28 to 319 of the family's 1533-position model. Lineage: Bacteria; Bacillati; Cyanobacteriota. The record is from RNAcentral.
GAUGAACGCUGGCGGUCUGCUUAACACAUGCAAGUCGAACGGACCCUUCGGGUAGUGGCGGACGGGUGAGUAACGCGUGAGAAUCUGCCUUCAGGUCUGGGACGAACAGAAGGAAACUUACUGCUAAUCCGGGAGUGAGCCUUUUGGUUAAAAGAAGAAAUUAGCCUGGAGAUGAGCUCGCGUCUGAUUAGCUAGUUGGUGAGGUAAAAGACUUACCAAGGCGACGAUCAGUAGCUGGUCUGAGAGGAUGAGCAGCCACACUGGGAC